This 450-nucleotide ribosomal RNA is filed under the name uncultured bacterium. Its description in RNAcentral is "partial 16S ribosomal RNA". It matches the Rfam family "Bacterial small subunit ribosomal RNA", at positions 354 to 796 of the family's 1533-position model. The record is from RNAcentral.
GUGGGGAAUAUUGGACAAUGGGCGCAAGCCUGAUCCAGCAAUGCCGCGUGCAGGAAGAAGGCCUUCGGGUUGUAAACUGCUUUUGUACGGAACGAAAAGGCUCUGGUUAAUACCUGGGGCUCAUGACGGUACCGUAAGAAUAAGCACCGGCUAACUACGUGCCAGCAGCCGCGGUAAUACGUAGGGUGCAAGCGUUAAUCGGAAUUACUGGGCGUAAAGCGUGCGCAGGCGGUUUUGUAAGACAGAGGUGAAAUCCCCGGGCUCAACCUGGGAAUUGCCUUUGUGACUGCAAGGCUGGAGUGCGGCAGAGGGGGAUGGAAUUCCGCGUGUAGCAGUGAAAUGCGUAGAUAUGCGGAGGAACACCGAUGGCGAAGGCAAUCCCCUGGGCCUACACUGACGCUCAUGCACGAAAGCGUGGGGAGCAAACAGGAUUAGAUACCCUGGUAGUCC